ACGCACGCUGGCGGCGUGCUUAACACAUGCAAGUCGAACGGAAAGGCCCUGCUUUUGUGGGGUGCUCGCGUGGCGAACGGGUGAGUAACACGUGAGUAACCUGCCCUUGACUUUGGGAUAACUUCAGGAAACUGGGGCUAAUACCGGAUAGGAGCUCCUGCUGCAUGGUGGGGGUUGGAAGGUUUCGGCGGUUGGGGAUGGACUCGCGGCUUAUCAGCUUGUUGGUGGGGUAGUGGCUUACCAAGGCUUUGACGGGUAGCCGGCCUGAGAGGGUGACCGGCCACAUUGGGACUGAGAUACGGCCCAGACUCCUACGGGAGGCAGCAGUGGGGAAUAUUGCACAAUGGGCGGAAGCCUGAUGCAGCAACGCCGCGUGCGGGAUGACGGCCUUCGGGUUGUAAACCGCUUUCGCCUGUGACGAAGCGUGAGUGACGGUAAUGGGUAAAGAAGCACCGGCUAACUACGUG
This 467-nucleotide ribosomal RNA is filed under the name uncultured bacterium. RNAcentral's name for it is "partial 16S ribosomal RNA". It matches the Rfam family "Bacterial small subunit ribosomal RNA", at positions 29 to 507 of the family's 1533-position model. The record is from RNAcentral.